RNAcentral lists this ribosomal RNA (460 nucleotides) under uncultured bacterium. Its description in RNAcentral is "partial 16S ribosomal RNA". It matches the Rfam family "Bacterial small subunit ribosomal RNA", at positions 338 to 795 of the family's 1533-position model. The record is from RNAcentral.
CCUACGUGAGGCAGCAGUGAGGAAUAUUGGUCAAUGGACGCAAGUCUGAACCAGCCAUGCCGCGUGCAGGCAGACGGCUCUAUGAGUUGUAAACUGCUUUUGUACGAGGGUAAACGCAGAUACGCGUAUCUGUCUGAAAGUAUCGUACGCAUAAGGAUCGGCUAACUCCGUGCCAGCAGCCGCGGUAAUACGGAGGAUUCAAGCGUUAUCCGGAUUUAUUGGGUUUAAAGUGUGCGUAGGCGGUCGGAUAAGUUAGAGGUGAAAUCCCGAGGCUCAACUUCGGAAGUGCCUCUGAUACUGGUCGGCUAGAGAGUAGGUGCGGUAGGCGGAAUGUAUGGUGUAGCGGUGAAAUGCUUAGAGAUCAUACAGAACACCGAUUGCGAAGGCAGCUUACUAAACUGCCACUGACAUUGAUGCUCGAAAGUGUGGGUAUCAAACAGGAUUAGAUACCCCGGUAGUC